AUGGGAACGCGAAGAACCUUACCUACUCUUGACAUCCAGAGAACUUUCCAGAGAUGGAUUGGUGCCUUCGGGAACUCUGAGACAGGUGCUGCAUGGCUGUCGUCAGCUCGUGUUGUGAAAUGUUGGGUUAAGUCCCGCAACGAGCGCAACCCUUAUCCUUUGUUGCCAGCGGUCCGGCCGGGAACUCAAAGGAGACUGCCAGUGAUAAACUGGAGGAAGGUGGGGAUGACGUCAAGUCAUCAUGGCCCUUACGAGUAGGGCUACACACGUGCUACAAUGGCGCAUACAAAGAGAAGCGACCUCGCGAGAGCAAGCGGACCUCAUAAAGUGCGUCGUAGUCCGGAUUGGAGUCUGCAACUCGACUCCAUGAAGUCGGAAUCGCUAGUAAUCGUAGAUCAGAAUGCUACGGUGGAUACGUUCCCGGGUCUUGUACACACCG
Molecule: ribosomal RNA, 439 nt
Filed under: uncultured bacterium
Lineage: Bacteria
Description: bacterial SSU rRNA
Rfam family: Bacterial small subunit ribosomal RNA
Source: RNAcentral